AGAGUUCGAUCCUGGCUCAGGUAUAACGCUUGGCGGGCAUGCUUAACAAAUGCAAGUCGAACGGGAAGUGGUAUGUUUCCAGUGGCGAACGGGUGAAGUAACGCGUAAGAACCUGCCCUUGGGAGGGAAAACAACAACUGGAGGAAAACGGUUUGCUAAUACCCGUAGGUGAGGAGCAAAAGGAGAAAUCCGCCAAGGCGGGUGGGGGCUCGCGUUGAUUAGAUAGUUGGUGAGGCAAUAGCUUACCAAGGCGAUGAUCAGUAGCUGGUCCGAGAGGAUGAUCAGCCACACUGGGACGAGGGACACGGCCAGACUCAUAGGGACGCAGCAGUGGGGAAUUUUCCGCAAUGGGCGAAAGCCUGACGGCGCAAUUGCCGAGUUGGAGGUGGAAGGCCUACGGGUCGUCAACUUCUUUUCUCGGAGAAGAAACAAUGACGUCUGUGAGGAAUAAGCAUCGGCUAACUCUGUGCCAGCAGCCGCGGUUUAGACAGAGGAUGGAUGCAAGCGUAUCCGGAAUGAUGGGCCGUUAAGGCGUCUGUAGGUGGCUUUCAAGCCGCCGUCAAAUCCCAGGGCUCAACCCUGGACAGGCGGUGGAUGGAGAAAACUACCAAGCUGGAGUACGGUAGGGGCAGAGGAAUCCCGGUUCGGAGCGGUGAAAGGCAUUGAGAUCGGAGAAAAGAACACCAACGGCGAAGGCAUCUGCUGGGGCCGACACUGACACUGAGAGACGAAAGCUAGGGGAGCAAAUGGGAUUAGAGACCCCAGUAGUCAAGCCGUAACGAUGGAUCUAGGUGAUGUGCGACUCGAACCGUUUGCAGUGCUUUGUUUGUAGCUAAAAGCGGUUAAGUAUCCAGCCGGGGAGGAGAGUACGUCGCCAAGAAUGAAACUCAAAGAAUGACGGGGGCCCCGCACAAGCAGGUGGUGUGGAGCAUGUGGUUAAUUCGAUGCAAAGCGAAGAACUUUACCAGGUUUGACAUGCCGCGAAUCCUCUGAAGAGAGGGGUGCCCUCGGGAACGCGGACACAGGUGGUGCAUGGCUGUCGUCAGCUCGUGCCGUAAGGUGUUGGAGUUUAAAGUCUUCGAACGAGCGCAAAACCAUUAGUGUUUAGUUGCCACUAUGAGUUUGGAACCCUGAACAGACCGCCGGUUGUUAAGCCGGAGGAAGGAGAGGAUGAGGCCAAGUCAAUCAUGCCCCUUAUGCCCUGGGCGACACACGUGCUACAAGGGCGGGACAAAGGGUCGCGAUCUCGCGAGGGUGAGCUAACUCCAAAAACCCGUCCUCAGUUCGGAUGCAGGCUGAAACCGCCUGCAUGGAUAGCAGGAAUCGCUAGUAAAUCCCGGUCAGCCAUUACGGCGGUGAAUCCGUUCCCGGGCCUUGUACACACCGCCAGCGUCACACUAUAGGAGCUGCCGGUUUGAAGUCAUUACCCUUAACCGUAAGGAGGGGAUGCCGAAGGCUAGGCUUGCGACUGGAGUGAAAGUCGUAAAGGUUAGCCGUACUGGAAGGUGCGGCUG
This 1514-nucleotide ribosomal RNA is filed under the name Saccharum spontaneum (wild sugarcane). RNAcentral describes it as "bacterial SSU rRNA". It matches the Rfam family "Bacterial small subunit ribosomal RNA". The record is from RNAcentral. Lineage: Eukaryota; Viridiplantae; Streptophyta; Magnoliopsida; Poales; Poaceae.